RNAcentral lists this ribosomal RNA (465 nucleotides) under Vreelandella stevensii. RNAcentral describes it as "partial 16S ribosomal RNA". It matches the Rfam family "Bacterial small subunit ribosomal RNA", at positions 338 to 795 of the family's 1533-position model. The record is from RNAcentral. Lineage: Bacteria; Pseudomonadati; Pseudomonadota; Gammaproteobacteria; Oceanospirillales; Halomonadaceae.
CCUACGGGGGGCUGCAGUGGGGAAUAUUGGACAAUGGGGGCAACCCUGAUCCAGCCAUGCCGCGUGUGUGAAGAAGGCCCUCGGGGUGUAAAGCACUUUCAGUGAGGAAGAACGCCUGGUGGUUAAUACCCAUCAGGAAAGACAUCACUCACAGAAGAAGCACCGGCUAACUCCGUGCCAGCAGCCGCGGUAAUACGGAGGGUGCGAGCGUUAAUCGGAAUUACUGGGCGUAAAGCGCGCGUAGGUGGCUUGAUAAGCCGGUUGUGAAAGCCCCGGGCUCAACCUGGGAACGGCAUCCGGAACUGUCAAGCUAGAGUGCAGGAGAGGAAGGUAGAAUUCCCGGUGUAGCGGUGAAAUGCGUAGAGAUCGGGAGGAAUACCAGUGGCGAAGGCGGCCUUCUGGACUGACACUGACACUGAGGUGCGAAAGCGUGGGUAGCAAACAGGAUUAGAUACCCUUGUAGUC